CGACAAGCGGAGGAGCGAUGUGGUUUAAUUCGAUGAUACGCGAGGAACCUUACCUGGGCUCGAACGUAAGAUGACUGUAGGUGAAAGCUUACAUCUCUUCGGAGCAUUUUACGAGGUGCUGCAUGGUUGUCGUCAGCUCGUGCCGUGAGGUGUCGGGUUAAGUCCCAUAACGAGCGCAACCCCUACCUUUAGUUGCCAUCAGGUUAAGCUGGGGACUCUAAAGGAACUGCCUACGCAAGUAGUGAGGAAGGCGGGGAUGACGUCAAAUCAGCACGGCCCUUACGUCCAGGGCUACACACGUGCUACAAUGGCCGAUACAGAGGGCAGCUACCUGGUGACAGGAUGCAAAUCUCCAAAGUCGGUCUCAGUUCGGAUCGGAGUCUGCAACCCGACUCCGUGAAGUUGGAUUCGCUAGUAAUCGCGCAUCAGCCAUGGCGCGGUGAAUACGUUCCCGGGCCUU
This 460-nucleotide ribosomal RNA is filed under the name uncultured Sphingobacteriales bacterium. RNAcentral describes it as "bacterial SSU rRNA". It matches the Rfam family "Bacterial small subunit ribosomal RNA", at positions 922 to 1382 of the family's 1533-position model. The record is from RNAcentral. Lineage: Bacteria; Pseudomonadati; Bacteroidota; Sphingobacteriia; Sphingobacteriales.